AAUCUUCCGCAAUGGACGAAAGUCUGACGGAGCAACGCCUCGUGAGUGAUGAAGGUUUUCGGAUCGUAAAACACUUUUGUUAUGGAAGAACAAGUAACGGAAUAACUGCCGGUACUGUGACGGUACCUAACCAGAAAGCCACUGCUUACUACGUGCCAGCAGCCGCGGUAAUACGUAGGUGGCAAGCGGUGUCCGGAAUUAUUGGGCGUAAAGCGCGCGCAGGCGGUCUUUUAAGUCUGAUGUGAAAGCCCCCGGCUCAACCGGGGAGGGUCAUUUGAAACUGGGAUAAUUGAGUGCAGAAGAGAAGAGUGGAAUUCCACGUGUAGCGGUUAAAUGCGUAGAGAUGUGGAGGAACACCAGUGGCGAAGGCGACUCUUUGGUCUGUAACUGACGCUGAGGCGCGAAAGCGUGGGGAGCAAAC
This 421-nucleotide ribosomal RNA is filed under the name uncultured bacterium. RNAcentral's name for it is "partial 16S ribosomal RNA". It matches the Rfam family "Bacterial small subunit ribosomal RNA", at positions 360 to 773 of the family's 1533-position model. The record is from RNAcentral.